AUCAAGUUGAUGAGUGCCAAAUAGGACGAAACGCGCGUCCUGGAU
This 45-nucleotide non-coding RNA is filed under the name Schistosoma mansoni. The record is from RNAcentral. Lineage: Eukaryota; Metazoa; Platyhelminthes; Trematoda; Strigeidida; Schistosomatidae.